Molecule: ribosomal RNA, 439 nt
Filed under: uncultured bacterium
Lineage: Bacteria
Description: partial 16S ribosomal RNA
Rfam family: Bacterial small subunit ribosomal RNA
Source: RNAcentral
CUACGGGUCGCAGCAGUGAGGAAUAUUGCACAAUGGGGGGAACCCUGAUGCAGCAACGCCGCGUGGAGGAUGACGCAUUUCGGUGUGUAAACUCCUUUUAUAUGUCAAGAAAAUGACGGUAGCAUAUGAAUAAGCACCGGCUAACUCCGUGCCAGCAGCCGCGGUAAUACGGAGGGUGCAAGCGUUACUCGGAAUCACUGGGCGUAAAGGACGCGUAGGCGGGUUGGGAAGUCAGGUGUGAAAUCCUACAGCUUAACUGUAGAACUGCACUUGAAACUUCUAAUCUAGAGUAUGGGAGGGGGAGAUGGAAUUAGUGGUGUAGGGGUAAAAUCCGUAGAUAUCACUAGGAAUACCUAAAGCGAAGGCGAUCUCCUGGAACAUUACUGACGCUAAGGCGUGAAGGCGUGGGGAGCAAACAGGAUUAGAUACCCUCGUAGUC